AGAGGGGGACAACAGUUGGAAACGACUGCUAAUACCGCAUACGAUCUAAUCUCGGCAUCGAGGAUAGAUGAAAGGUGGCCUCUACAUGUAAGCUAUCACUGAAGGAGGGGAUUGCGUCUGAUUAGCUAGUUGGAGGGGUAACGGCCCACCAAGGCGAUGAUCAGUAGCCGGUCUGAGAGGAUGAACGGCCACAUUGGGACUGAGACACGGCCCAGACUCCUACGGGAGGCAGCAUG
RNAcentral lists this ribosomal RNA (236 nucleotides) under uncultured bacterium. Its description in RNAcentral is "partial 16S ribosomal RNA". It matches the Rfam family "Bacterial small subunit ribosomal RNA", at positions 135 to 353 of the family's 1533-position model. The record is from RNAcentral.